This 405-nucleotide ribosomal RNA is filed under the name uncultured bacterium. RNAcentral describes it as "partial 16S ribosomal RNA". It matches the Rfam family "Bacterial small subunit ribosomal RNA", at positions 30 to 526 of the family's 1533-position model. The record is from RNAcentral.
AUUGAACGCUGGCGGCAGGCUUAACACAUGCAAGUCGAACGAGUGGCGGACGGGUGAGUAAUGCUUGGGAAUCUGGCUUAUGGAGGGGGAUAACGACGGGAAACUGUCGCUAAUACCGCGUACCAUAGGAUGAGCCCAAGUGGGAUUAGGUAGUUGGUGGGGUAAUGGCCUACCAAGCCGACGAUCUCUAGCUGGUCUGAGAGGAUGACCAGCCCCCCCGGGACUGAGACACGGCCCGGACUCCUCCGACAGGCAGCACUUGUAAAUAUUACGCAAUGAAGGCAACCUGACAGAGCCAUGCCGCGUGAAUGAAGAAUGCCUUCGGGUUUUAACGUUCUUUCGGUGACGAGGCGUUAAUCACAGAAGAAGCACCGGCUAACUCCGUGCCAGCAGCCGCGGUAAUUC